This 590-nucleotide ribosomal RNA is filed under the name uncultured marine eukaryote. RNAcentral's name for it is "SSU rRNA". It matches the Rfam family "Eukaryotic small subunit ribosomal RNA", at positions 1 to 598 of the family's 1831-position model. The record is from RNAcentral.
AACCUGGUUGAUCCUGCCAGUAGUCAUAUGCUUGUCUUAAAGAUUAAGCCAUGCAUGUCUAAGUAUAAAUAGUAUACAGUGAAACUGCGAAUGGCUCAUUAAAACAGUUAUAGUUUAUUUGAUAAUUGAAUUAUACAUAGAUAACCGUGGUAAUUCUAGAGCUAAUACAUGCAGUAAAACCUGACUUUUUGGAAAGGUUGUAUUUAUUAGAUAUCAAACCAAUAUUCCUUCGGGUCUAUUGUGAUGAUUCAUAAUAACUGAUCGAAGCUUAGCUAGGCUAAGCUAAAUCAUUCAAGUUUCUGCCCUAUCAGCUUUCGAUGGUAGUGUAUUGGACUACCAUGGCAGUCACGGGUAACGGGGAAUUAGGGUUCGAUUCCGGAGAGGGAGCCUGAGAAACGGCUACCACAUCUAAGGAAGGCAGCAGGCGCGUAAAUUACCCAAUCCUGACUCAGGGAGGUAGUGACAAGAAAUAACAACUCGGGGCCUCACGGCUUACGAGAUUGCAAUGAGAACAAUUUAAACCACUUAUCUAGGAACAAUUGGAGGGCAAGUCUGGUGCCAGCAGCCGCGGUAAUUCCAGCUCCAAUAGC